This 498-nucleotide ribosomal RNA is filed under the name uncultured bacterium. Its description in RNAcentral is "partial 16S ribosomal RNA". It matches the Rfam family "Bacterial small subunit ribosomal RNA", at positions 28 to 523 of the family's 1533-position model. The record is from RNAcentral.
GAUGAACGCUGGCGGCGUGCUUAACACAUGCAAGUCGAACGAAGCACUUUAACUUGAUUUCUUCGGAUUGAUUGUUAUUGUGACUGAGUGGCGGACGGGUGAGUAACGCGUGGGUAACCUGCCUCAUACAGGGGGAUAACAGUUGGAAACGACUGCUAAUACCGCAUAAGCGCACGGUAUCGCAUGAUACAGUGUGAAAAACUCCGGUGGUAUGAGAUGGACCCGCGUCUGAUUAGCUAGUUGGCGGAGUAACGGCCCACCCAGGCAACGAUCAGUAGCCGACCUGAGAGGGUGACCGGCCACAUUGGGACUGAGACACGGCCCAAACUCCUACGGGAGGCAGCAGUGGGGAAUAUUGCACAAUGGGCGAAAGCCUGAUGCAGCGACGCCGCGUGAACGAUGAAGUAUUUCGGUAUGUAAAGUUCUAUCAGCAGGGAAGAAGAAUGACGAUACCUGACUAAGAAGCACCGGCUAAAUACGUGCCAGCCGCCGCAGUAA